UUAGUCCACUUACGAUUGCUUAACAUAGCACUAAAUUGUCUUAUGACACACUAACAUUGACUACUAACUACUAACUUUAAUUCAAGCAUUUAAUUUCUUGCAAUUUACUUUAAUGCACUUUAUUUCUUGCUCAUUUAUUCAUAUUGCCUUUUCCCUUUGCUCACUUGAGCACAUAUUUUAUGUUUAUGUCAUUUUCCUUUUGCUCAUUUGGG
Molecule: long non-coding RNA, 212 nt
Filed under: Lathyrus oleraceus (garden pea)
Lineage: Eukaryota; Viridiplantae; Streptophyta; Magnoliopsida; Fabales; Fabaceae
Description: Pisum sativum (pea) long non-coding RNA (PSAT_LNC029458)
Source: RNAcentral